RNAcentral lists this ribosomal RNA (94 nucleotides) under Escherichia coli. RNAcentral's name for it is "partial 16S ribosomal RNA". It matches the Rfam family "Bacterial small subunit ribosomal RNA", at positions 1 to 90 of the family's 1533-position model. The record is from RNAcentral. RNAcentral also lists the same sequence under 82 other names. Lineage: Bacteria; Pseudomonadati; Pseudomonadota; Gammaproteobacteria; Enterobacterales; Enterobacteriaceae.
AAAUUGAAGAGUUUGAUCAUGGCUCAGAUUGAACGCUGGCGGCAGGCCUAACACAUGCAAGUCGAACGGUAACAGGAAGCAGCUUGCUGCUUUG